Molecule: transfer RNA, 71 nt
Filed under: Ictidomys tridecemlineatus (thirteen-lined ground squirrel)
Lineage: Eukaryota; Metazoa; Chordata; Mammalia; Rodentia; Sciuridae
Also listed under: 1 other name
Description: Spermophilus tridecemlineatus (thirteen-lined ground squirrel) tRNA
Rfam family: tRNA
About the family: Transfer RNA (tRNA) molecules are approximately 80 nucleotides in length. Their secondary structure includes four short double-helical elements and three loops (D, anti-codon, and T loops).
Source: Rfam by way of RNAcentral
AGGGAUGUAGUUCAGUGACAGAAUGCUUGCUUGCAUGCAUGAGGCUCUGGGUUCCAUCCCCAGCAUCACAA